This 373-nucleotide long non-coding RNA is filed under the name Chrysolophus pictus (golden pheasant). RNAcentral describes it as "lncRNA (ENSCPIG00010007497.1)". Lineage: Eukaryota; Metazoa; Chordata; Aves; Galliformes; Phasianidae. The record is from RNAcentral.
CUGGUCUGGUGAUGCCAAGACUAUCUCACAAUCUUGCGCCAAUACACAGCUAAAUAUCAUAAUGAGGUGAGUUCGAGACUUUUCCUGGACACAAGGCAAAUGUAGGUGCCAUGAGAUGUAGGUCAGCAGUUGGCUUUUUUCCUUCUCACUUACUGCAGUAAACCAGUGCCAGAAGAGAGUCUGCUGUCGGAAAUGUGGUCUUCUGAACAAGUUAUCUACCCAUUUGUAGAGCUGUUCCAGUUGCCACAUCAAUCUUCAUAGAAGUACUGGAAGGUUAUUGCCUUGAUUGUUCUGGACACAAAUCCAGUUCAGAGGCAUCUGUCUACCACUUCAGAGCAGACUGUGGUUUAGUGAUGGUUGAAUGAGCUGUACC